CCAAGGAUGUUUUCAUUAAUCAAGAACGAAAGUUAGGGGAUCGAAGACGAUCAGAUACCGUCGUAGUCUUAACCAUAAACGAUGCCGACCAGCGAUUAGGAGACGUUGAAUACAAAACACCACCAUCGGCGCGGUCG
RNAcentral lists this ribosomal RNA (137 nucleotides) under Acanthamoeba sp. RNAcentral's name for it is "partial 18S ribosomal RNA". It matches the Rfam family "Eukaryotic small subunit ribosomal RNA", at positions 958 to 1094 of the family's 1831-position model. The record is from RNAcentral. Lineage: Eukaryota; Discosea; Longamoebia; Acanthamoebidae.